GAUAAACGCUGGCGGCGCACAUAAGACAUGCAAGUCGAACGGACCAAAACCUUAGGUUUACUUUGGUAGAGGUUAGUGGCGGACUGGUGAGUAACACGUAAGCAACCUGCCUAUCAGAGGGGAACAACAGUUAGAAAUGACUGCUAAUACCGCAUAUGCCAUAAUCACCACAUGGUGAUAGUGGGAAAGGAGCAAUCCGCUGAUAGAUGGGCUUGCGUCUGAUUAGAUAGUUGGUGGGGUAACGGCCUACCAAGUCGACGAUCAGUAGCCGGACUGAGAGGUUGAACGGCCACAUUGGGACUGAGAUACGGCCCAGACUCCUACGGGAGGCAGCAGUGGGGAAUAUUGGGCAAUGGACGCAAGUCUGACCCAGCAACGCCGCGUGAAGGAAGAAGGCUUUCGGGUUGUAAACUUCUUUGACAGGGGAAGAGCAGAAGACGGUACCCUGAAAACAAGCCACGGCUAACUACGUG
This 473-nucleotide ribosomal RNA is filed under the name uncultured bacterium. RNAcentral's name for it is "bacterial SSU rRNA". It matches the Rfam family "Bacterial small subunit ribosomal RNA", at positions 28 to 507 of the family's 1533-position model. The record is from RNAcentral.